ACAAGCCCGCCGGAAACGAAAAGCUGCUUGUCCUGAUAUUACUUUGUAACGGAAUAAGCCCGUUAGGAAUAAACAGUAAUCAGUGAAGUUAGUCUUUCAAUUAUUAAAUCUGUCCUCGAAGACUUUAGGCUGCUAAGGCCGUUAGUCACGCCAGACUGAAUAAAUGCUUCCAGGUAGCUCAUAGAUGAAAACUCCAGUUCCCGACAUGCUCCAUUCUAGUCGCGGCGCCGGAACGUGGCCGCGCUGCAUGCUGGGGACGUAUUCUCGCGGGAUCGACUCACAGGCGUCGGGAGAUGAGGUUUCAGUACCCUUUAUCCUCCCAUAGUUAUGAAGAUAAAGAGUCUUCUCUUGCUGAGAAAUUGGCAGAGCUGUGAAGUUCUGAGUGUGACCAGAAAAGGAACUUACCACUGCAUGAAUACCGAGAGAGAAAGAAACUACACAUUUCUGAGGGUUGAGUGGGGGCUCCCACACACCUAAAACACCUGGAGAAAACAGGCAAUGAGGACUACUACAGCUCUACUCAGACACUUCUUUCAACCCAACCUCUGGGUGCACACGUUAAGGGCCUUCGACUCAGCAGGUGGAAACCCAAGACCUAGAGAGUCCCAAGAGAACAUGUCCAGCUGGUGGCCAAGGGGAUGGUGAGCCCCUGUCGGCUGUGCAUUGCCUGGUGCCCUUACAGUUUGCACGCUGUCCCGCCUGGCCAGGAUCGCAAGCUACAUCGUAGGUUACUCAUGGAUUAUGUACAUAUUGACUAAUAAGAAAAUAAAUAGCACGUCUGAGAAAAAUACAUCACGCGGAGAAAGUAGGAUGAAGUCAUUACAACCAUUAAUGGCCAAGAGACUGGAGGAAGCAAACAUCACCUGGUCAGGUGAAGGUUUUAUAAGAAGGCUCACGUUUCAAAUGCCUUCCUCCAGUAGGAAAUAAACAUUAAUAAUAAGGACUGAGAACAUUUCUGUGUAUUGUAGAAAAGCAGAGUAUAUAGAUAACCACACAUACCUCACAGUCUUGGAAAAUUAUGCAUUAUUUAGAAAAGGGAUUAAAAAUAUCUCCAACUUGCAAGUGUUCAACCUCUCACCCCUUGGGAUUGCACAGGGAGGGGAGGGUGCUGCUGUCCUUUUCCACUGCUUCAUGGUUUCUGAGGAACAGACCCAAGGCAUUAGUCAGCAAUUUCUGAAUUUUGACCCACAAUAGGAAAGAUACCUCGAGACAGGAAAAAUAGAUGGAGGCAAUUACAAACAGCUACUUGAUUGAUGGUUGACAUUGUCGGGGCUCCAGUGUAUGGCAGAUUGUGAUGGUGUUGAACUCCCCUUGCUACCAGUGGAUGUUGCUAUUGGCAACCGUGCAGUGAAGCCAAUAAAAAGGCAAGAAAAUGAGACGAAAGCUCAACCUUAGUGGAAGCCGUAGGGUUUGUGCUAUAAAUUAUGUUCCCCUUAGCAACAUGUAGCAUCAACACUCAGGGCGGCUUCGGGACCCGCAGCUGCCUGCAGCCUCCGUCGGACCCUGGGUCUAGUUUUAUCAUAAAGCACAGGCUUUAAAAUUUUGCUCUAGAUAGACUGGCAUCCGUCUGUUGGGACUAUUUAUUUAUUGUUGGGAAGGAUAACAGAUGUGGGUUCGUCUCUGCCUCAUACGGACUGAUUUCCAAUUCCCGUUUGUGAUAUAAACACGAUGUGGCACACUAGCCAGAAACACCUGCCAUGCUUCUGAGCUGCAGACGCCGACCAGGGUCUGUCCCCAACUCCACCCCUGCUUUGUUCCUUACCUGAAGGAGAAGAGACAGCGUGGCAGAAGCUAUUUUCCUUUAUAGCAGAGUGAUUCAGAAAACUGGCUUAAUAAAAUCCAUAAAUCUCCACAACCUCCUCUUACUGCUCUGAGGAGGCAAUUUGCCGGGCACUCUCUCUCCCCCAGCUUCCCCAGCCUUCCCCGCAGAGUCAGCUGUGAAGGCGAGCUAGGGACCUUAUCGUUUGGGCUCCCACUCCCUCCUCCUCUCCUUGGCCAAACCCCCCUCUAGUGGCCCUUUUCUAAGCAUUUGAUGACAGGAUUGUGCAUCCUCAUUUUGGGGGGUUAGAAGCGCCAUUUUUCUUUGUUUGGAUUGACGUUCACUUUGCCUUUGGCAGUCCUCUUACCAGCUGCCUCAGCAUCUUUUCUUUUUUUGGUGUCUUGCUAAUCGGCCUCGUCUUCCUCGUUUCUCCCCCUCUUUGCCGGGCUUAUAAUUUUCUGUUACUUUAUUUCUUGCCAUAAAGAAUCCUGUAUCUUCCCUCCUGAUACCCGCUCUUCCCUCACUCCCAUUUUGGUACCUUCGUUUACCCAUUCUUUAAACAUUUCUGGAAUGUCUGCUGUGUGCCUCCGGGGAAACAGUGCUCUUUGUGGAAUGUGGCCCCUAUUUCUUUAAUAUUUGAGUAGUCAAGUUAAUAACUGAUAUUGACCAGUAAACAACAAGAACAAAAAUGGUGCACUUAGGAUUUUUCAGAGCUGGAAUGGACUUCAAGUUUCAUCUAGUCCAGGGAUCUUCCAACUCCUCAGACCUCCAUGUAUGUAAUCAAAGAAAGGAGAAUUUACAGGGGUUUCUGGAUCCCCCACACUGGCUUCAAACAGAGAAUUUCAGUUUUUAGGUGUUUUAUAUCUUGGACAUUCCUGAUAAGAUUUUUUUGCACAAAGAGUCCUAAGGUUAAAAUAUGUUUGAAAAUCUUUUCCUAAUGCAAUCUCAUUCGACAAACGAGGAAACAGGCUGGGAGAAUUUAGGUGAUUUGUCCACAGUCACCUGAUCAGUGAUGCCAAAGCCAGGGUAGGAAGUCUAGCUUCUAGUCCAGUGUUCUUUGGAUGAGUCAAGCCAUGUCCUCAAUCUCUCAGGUAAAAUGGGGAGCAAAGUAGUUUUGUAGUCAUUGCAUUGAUUUAAUCUCGUUUAUUCUUAUUAUAAGCCUAGCAUCCUAGAAAGUUUUGUCCUCUGGCCAGACUCUUAUUUCUUAACUUUUCAAGCAUUAUUUCUUUUUUUUUUUAGAUUUUAUUUAUUUAUUCAAAAGAGACAGAGACAGCCAGCGAGAGAGGG
Ailuropoda melanoleuca (giant panda) is the source of this 3046-nucleotide long non-coding RNA. RefSeq lists it as uncharacterized. The transcript has 3 exons. The record is from RefSeq and is a predicted model, not a curated record. NCBI's taxonomy places the organism in Eukaryota, Metazoa, Chordata, Mammalia, Carnivora, Ursidae.